This 460-nucleotide ribosomal RNA is filed under the name uncultured bacterium. Its description in RNAcentral is "bacterial SSU rRNA". It matches the Rfam family "Bacterial small subunit ribosomal RNA", at positions 340 to 789 of the family's 1533-position model. The record is from RNAcentral.
UACGGAAGGCAGCAGUGGGGAAUAUUGCACAAUGGGCGAAAGCCUGAUGCAGCUAUGCCGCGUGUAUGAAGAAGGCCUUAGGGUUGUAAAGUACCUUCAUCGGGGAGGAAAAAACAAAACUAAUAAUUUUAUUUCUUGACGUUACCCGAAAAAGAAGCACCGGCUAACUCCGUGCCAGCAGCCGCGGUAAUACGGAGGGUGCUAGCGUUAAUCAGAAUUACUGGGCGUAAAGAGCACGUAGGUGGUUUUUUUAAGUCAGAUGUGAAAUCCCUGGGCUUAACCUAGGAACUGCAUUUUGAAACUGAAAUACUAGAGUAUCGUAGAGGGAGGUAGAAUUCUAGGUGUAGCGGUGAAAUGCGUAGAUAUCUGGAGGAAUACCUGUGGCGAAAGCGGCCUCCUAAACGAAUACUGACACUGAGGUGCGAAAGCGUGGGGAGCAAACGAGGGAUUAGAUACCCGU